Molecule: long non-coding RNA, 1212 nt
Organism: Physeter macrocephalus (sperm whale)
Lineage: Eukaryota; Metazoa; Chordata; Mammalia; Artiodactyla; Physeteridae
Exons: 4
Source: RefSeq, a predicted model, not a curated record
CAAGAGAAGCCACCACAAUGAGAAGCCCGUGCACCGCAACAAAGAGUAGCCCCCACUCUCCACAACUAUAGAAAGCCUGCACGUAGCAACGAAGACCCAAUGCAACCAAAAAUAUAUAAAUAAAUUUAUAUAAAAAAUACCGCAUAGGUAGAAUUUUGCACUUUCUUUAACCUACAACAUUUUGAAAAAAUUCUAUGUUUCAUUAGUAUGCAUUGAUUCCAGGUCCUAAUUCUUGGGCAAGAUUGAUCAUGUGAGGAAUGUUUUGGGAAGAUGACAUGGAGACAUGGUCUUUUAUCAUACCUGAUGGGUCAGACUCGUGGAAAUCACAGCCAUCCAGGACACGGCUACUGGGAAAGGGAAGUAGACUACUAUCCAGUAUCCACUGGACAUAACUGUCAUAAAGUCUCUCAGGAAGGAUUUUAGGGCAGAGAGGAGGCCCUAAUUCAGGGCCUAUUUUCUCUUGCUUUACACACAGUUCUAAGAAGUUGCAUUUUAUUUUGGCAACCCACAGUAAGUAUGAAAUGGAAAAUUAAAAGGAGCAGGUAGUCCAGAAACAUGAAAAGAGCUGGAUGACAGCUACAUGAUCAAGGAGAAAACAGAAGAACUAGGGAAGGCACAGAAUCUAGGAUAAAUUGAUAUAGAGGCCAAGAAAGUUCGUCUUCCUUUUAGUGAGUACAUUAUGCUUGUCUGUUUACUUGCAUUGUCUAUUUUAACUGUCACACUAACCUUCUGAGGUAGGUACUAUUAUGUUCUGUAUUUCACAGAUAAAAACAUAUUCAGAAAUAUUCCUAAAGUUACCCAACUGGGAAGAAAAUCCCAAGGAACACUGUCUCAUUGCUCUGUGAUCAAGUACAAGGUGUGCAUAGGAAAGGUGAAUGACUGCGGCCAGUCACUGCUCCUGGUUUUUGUGACUCUGACAUUAUAUGAAAGGAGUUUGGGGAAAUGAAAUGGAAUAAAAGGGCCUCAGCUGAAUACAUGGGAUAUCCUGCAGGAGCCAGAGCCCUUCCUCAUGGAGCUGGACACACAUAUCCCCGGCCCAAGAGUCAGAGACAGGGAAGGAAAAUUCAGGGGGAGAAGAGAGCAAUGACAAGACCAGCUGCUGCUUCACAUCAGAGAGGCGACCUGGAGCCACCUUUGAAAUCAAGAACAGAGACUAAACGGCCUGGCGGGCGUCCAGAAGGCCCCUGAAGAUGCGUGCGCAGACGCUUGAAU